UACGUAGGUGACUAGCGUUGUCCGGAUUUACUGGGCGUAAAGAGCGCGCAGGCGGUCGUGCAAGUCGCGUGUGAAAGCCCCCGGCUCAACUGGGGAGGGUCACGCGAUACUGAUCGACUCGAAGGCAGGAGAGGGUAGUGGAAUUCCCGGUGUAGUGGUGAAAUGCGUAGAUAUCGGGAGGAACACCAGUGGCGAAGGCGACUACCUGGCCUGUUCUUGACGCUGAGGCGCGAAAGCUAGGGGAGCAAACGGG
Molecule: ribosomal RNA, 253 nt
Filed under: uncultured bacterium
Lineage: Bacteria
Description: partial 16S ribosomal RNA
Rfam family: Bacterial small subunit ribosomal RNA
Source: RNAcentral